Hyalella azteca is the source of this 3917-nucleotide long non-coding RNA. RefSeq lists it as uncharacterized. The transcript is spliced from 2 exons. NCBI's taxonomy places the organism in Eukaryota, Metazoa, Arthropoda, Malacostraca, Amphipoda, Hyalellidae. The record is from RefSeq and is a predicted model, not a curated record.
AUGACGCCGGCAAACAAAACAACAGUCAGCUCACGCAGCACAAUGCCAACGGCAACGUGGCUAACGGCACCUACAGGCCCAUCCCUCUGAACGACAGAGUAUGACCCUUCACUUCUCGUGGAUCUCAUCCUGUGCACGCUUCUUAUCCUCAGAGCCGUGAUGCCCAGCGAUCAACAUCGCAGGAUGUUGACAACAAUGUGCAAUAUAUGCCCGUCCUCACUCCAAGCCUAAAUGAUUUACUGGAAGAAAGAUUUCUUCCUGAUGGGCAUUUAGUUUCAAGUAGAAAAAAGGCAGCUCCAGAAAAUAUUACCGAUCGAACGUUAGAAGAACAGGAGGGAGAGGUAGCUUCCCUUGCGACAGACGCUCCUGUGUUCUUCAUCAAAUGGCUAGAUAGAAAUUUGGCUGUUGAAGAACAGUUCACUCCUCCACUUUUGAGGUCCAAUAACAGCAAUUGAGAAUCAAAUAAGUGGAAAUAUUGAUCAUGCUAGAACAGGGGUCUCAAACUCAUAUUAGCAUGGGGUCAGCGGCCGCGCCAUUAAAUUUCACGAUUUUUAUUAAGCCUGAUUAUUUUAAUUACGAAUUUUAAUUUUUUAAUUUUUCACGCACAGGCAGUCUAAAUUAUUAGCUUACUCUUUCAGGCACUGUUGUUCAAACUUUGUGCUCUUUACAAAAGAGAAGUGAGCCAGGUUUCCAUUUUUCAGCUGAGUGGCCCAUUAAUUCAGCUUGCAUCAGAAUGAUUUGAUGCGGUCAAACGGUAAUUAGCUGCUUUGAACCUUGUAGUUGUGAAUAUAGUGUUGAGAUGUUGUGUGAUGUCAGUAAAAAUAGCAAGAUAUGGCAAUAACAAUGGGCCUCUGAGCUGAGGUAUGUCUCUGCCUUCCUUUGCCAUGAACAAUUAUAUUUCCCGUCUCUGUUCAAAAAUCUCUGCAGCGCUUUUUUUACGACUCAACCAUCUCUCGUCCGUACGAUUUAAGAACUCCCCAUAUUCCUUUUCCCAGUGCAGUGAAAUAUGCUACAAAGUCUUUUGCAGCGGUAAUCAGUUCUUGUUGAACAUUUGUCGCUGACUUGGUGAUCCUGCUUGGCUUGCAACUGUCUUCCCAGACAAACUUAUGCCUUCGAAGAGCUUCGUUUUCUCGAGGCUGAUAAUGUCACACGCCUGUCCUUAGCAAACUGGCCUUCAGUGAAUGGUCGUGAUGCCUUUGCUACCAUCUCGUUAACAAGAAAGCUUGUCUUCAUUGGCUGUGUUGAUGCUUGAAAAAAGGUUUUUUGUUUACUUAAAAAUACUUUCAAGUGAUGGACGCUUUCCCCGCACCGUUUGGCGGACGGACAGCCCAUCAUAAUGUUCUCGAUGCAAUGUUUCGUAAUGUCUAUGUACGUUGUAUGACUUGAGAACAGACAUGCACUGCAAUCAUACAGCCUAGUUUUUUUCCUCACAUCAUUGACAAAUUUUAAAUUUUCCAAAUUCUCCUGGAACACUUUUUUUUUCAUCUGCUAUUUUUCGCUUUUGGAAAGACGAUGACAUUUUUAAGGCUACUACACUACUACAGUAAAGUUGAGUAAACAAAAAACUCUCCUCCGUAACUGGAAAACCUGAUGACAAAGCAAAAACAAGAAUAUCAUAUGUAUGUUUAAUCACCAAGCACAACAUAUAUAUUUAUACAUUUACACCCCGGCCGUGGCCGCGUGUUUGAGACCCCUGUACUAGAAUAAGAUAUUUUUCAGUGGGACCAAUCUGCUGUUUAAACGUCUUGUAGCUGCUCUUUAUUACCCUUUUGUUGUGCUGUCAGAUAAUCCUUAUGCUCGCCAUUUCACAAAAAAAAAUCAUCAAAACGACCAAUGAAGAUGUAAUCUCUUCUGGAAAGUGAUUGAAUCGGACGUUUAAUAAUUGACCAAAACCACCUGUAGCCUUAACUUACAGACAAAAUUUUCCUUCUUACGAUUACGUCUUUUACCCGAUCUCGUGUCGAAUGUUUAUGCCCUGUAGCUGUGACCAACUUGUGUUCUUCACAAUCAAAGGGAGUGAGAAUUAAAAACGAAACUUUCCGGUGCUCUCCUAAUGAACCAGUCAUGUUUGGGAGCUGUGCUCCACUGUUCAUGGUGCUUGCUGCUAGUGAGUCGUGCCCUCGGCCCGCCAGCUCUUGAUUCGGUUUGAAUGAGAAUUUGAACACCGACGUGAUUACCAAAUAAGGCUCUUUGUACUGUACGUUUUAUAUCAAGUAUAUUCAACCAUAUUUUUACAAAGUUAAAUGUAGAAAUCUUAGAGAGUAAGUUGUUUGAAUGAGUUGUGAAGUUUGAUCUUGCGCAAAACAGGGAAGGAUGGUGCAGCUUUUUUUGACAAUGCCUGUGUUUUGAGUUUAAUUUAAAAGAAGGUGCAAUUGCAGCUUAGAUUUUAAUGAGGCCAUAACCUUGUCAAUAAUGUUAUUGUUAAGCGUUUGGAUGUUAAAGGGUGUACAUUUAAAGUGCUUCUGUACAUUUUACGUAGAGUUCAAUUGCGGACCAAGUGUCAGUUUAAUCAAAACUUGUUAUUUUAGCUUUGAGAUAGUGAAAUUUUAUUAGCAGAAUUUUUAUUACUAAUUAGAAUUCCUUGUUAUCCCUCCAUAGAUGUUGUUCGUAGAUAAUAUCCCUGAGGAUUAAUCCUAAAUUGAUUAGAUUUAAGUCUGCUGAGCUAUUUCUUUGCUUGAUGUCGCUCCUUUCCCAAACCGUCCACGAGGCUGCGUACAGCUUAACGCAUUCUUCCGUUUUUAGGCACAAGAGUAAAAAAUAUAUAUUUGCUCGUUUCUUAGAGAUCUCUUCUGACUUCUAACUGAAUGUGCUUACAAUUUGAUAGUUUCUAUUUUCGAUUAUGGUUAGCGCAGAGUGUACAAAAAAAUGUAAGAAUUGCUUACGUUAUGGAAUUAUAACCGUAAAACGAGUUUCGAAACUUACUGUUCUAAUUAAUUACUGGUCGAGUAACUUGACCAGUUCCGGUUUUUUUUUGCCUGUGAGUCCAGCACAACUUUAUUUGGUCACAACCCUACAGCGUGGGUGGCGAAAAAAAAUAUUGCGCUAUGAAUCGAAGAUGGUAUGUCCUCGAUUGUGCAGAUUCGUCCGAAAUCUUGUAGCAGGUUCGGCAUAACACUCAAGAUAUGGAAUAUUUUCUUGUAUUAACUUGCGUUAACAAAUUCAAAUUCAGCAAACGCAUCACAAUUUUCUACACAUGGUGUUCUUCGUUGCAUUCGUCACGAUGUCUCAUUUCAAUGCCGGCAACAGGGUUCAAGUAUCUUAUAAGUAGAGCAUCGACAGCGAUUCUUCCGGUUGUUGUUUAUGAAUGGUUACCAUUAAAUGAAUUAAAAGAAUUCAUUAUAUUAUUAUCAAGUCUCAGAGUAUUGGAGAUGAAAUACAUGUCCUACGUCGACGACUCGUUUGUAUGUGCAUGCCUGAUGGAAUUAAUUAACACGGCUACUUCUCGACAAUUUUAUAAUACCGACCAUUCAAAAAUUAAGUUUAGCAUCGUAAUACUACGAAUAGAAGUUGCCGACACCUGUCGAGGCGAACGUCGGUAAAACCAGUUCAUAUAUUUGAAAUUCAAGAACUUGCCAGGAGUCAUGGCUACACUUGGUGUGUUUUCGUUGCUGUUCUAUCACCCAUCGCAGCAAUUUUCUACUGCGACGCUUUAAACCAACAUUGAAGCUAGAGCUCCAUAUUUAGGAUUCGUCGUCCUAUCGAACUCUGCCGCUCAGCAGACAAUUUUGACUUCGGUCUAGCCCAAUUUGAUAGGCAUGGCAGCUUGAGAGCGUGAAACUUGAGCAUUAAAUGAAGCUUUUAGGAGUGAUGUUCUCAGUUACAAAUUAACGAUGUGGUAUAAAAGAUCUAUCUUACGUUAAUUUUAAUUGUGAUACGUAAUGUAUAUGUUCAUGGCUUAAUAUAUAGAAUUUAAUGAU